UACGUAGGAUCCAAGCGUUGUCCGGAAUUACUGGGUGUAAAAGGUGCGCAGGCGGACUUGUGCGUCAGAGGUUAAAUACCCCGGCUCAACCGGGGAAAUGCCUUUGAAACGGCAGGUCUUGAGUGCGAGAGAGGAUGGUAGAAUUCCCGGUGUAGCGGUGAAAUGCGUAGAUAUCAGGAGGAAUACCAGUGGCGAAGGCGGCCAUCUGGCUCGCAACUGACGCUCAGGCACGAAAGCGUGUGGAGCAAACGGG
This 253-nucleotide ribosomal RNA is filed under the name uncultured bacterium. Its description in RNAcentral is "partial 16S ribosomal RNA". It matches the Rfam family "Bacterial small subunit ribosomal RNA", at positions 524 to 776 of the family's 1533-position model. The record is from RNAcentral.